ACUGAAAGGCAAGCCAGCCUACUGAAAGCAGAAGAGUGGGAAUGGGGAGCCCUUAAGACACCUCUCCCCACUCUCACACCCCCCUUUUUUUUCUUUUCCUAAUCCAGGCCUCUUUGGGGCUGAGGUCUGGGGUAAAUUCACAGCCCCUCACUGGUCACAGGGUUCCGGGGCUCUAUAUGGAAUAAUAUUCAAGGAGGUUCUUGUAAGAGUAUGCCCUGGGCUUCCCAGGAAAUCACAGGGAUACAUUUCAAAAACUGUAUUUAUUUGUUUACUUACUUAUUUUUGUAGUGAUAGAGUUCUAUGCCACUCACACUUACUAGGCUGUGGCCACUCGGCACACUGGAGGCUGGCAGCACACACGUCCCAGCACAAAUGGAAUCCACCAUAAAGCAACUGCCUGUAGCUUGCUCCAUUCCUGCAUUCCGAGACCAGUAAGGCACUGGGAUAUUGUCCCAAACACACUUCAGUCCUCGCUCUUCAGCCAUCUCCUCAUCAUCCCAGCUCCUCCAGGAAGAGGAGGCCUGUGGGAUGUCCCAGUUGGCUCAAGGACUAGCAGAAAAAAAAAAAAAAAAA
RNAcentral lists this long non-coding RNA (573 nucleotides) under Rattus norvegicus (Norway rat). Its description in RNAcentral is "long non-coding RNA NONRATT020294". Lineage: Eukaryota; Metazoa; Chordata; Mammalia; Rodentia; Muridae. The record is from RNAcentral.